Molecule: ribosomal RNA, 663 nt
Filed under: Escherichia coli
Lineage: Bacteria; Pseudomonadati; Pseudomonadota; Gammaproteobacteria; Enterobacterales; Enterobacteriaceae
Description: partial 23S ribosomal RNA
Rfam family: Bacterial large subunit ribosomal RNA
Source: RNAcentral
CUGUUUCGGCAAGGGGGUCAUCCCGACUUACCAACCCGAUGCAAACUGCGAAUACCGGAGAAUGUUAUCACGGGAGACACACGGCGGGUGCUAACGUCCGUCGUGAAGAGGGAAACAACCCAGACCGCCAGCUAAGGUCCCAAAGUCAUGGUUAAGUGGGAAACGAUGUGGGAAGGCCCAGACAGCCAGGAUGUUGGCUUAGAAGCAGCCAUCAUUUAAAGAAAGCGUAAUAGCUCACUGGUCGAGUCGGCCUGCGCGGAAGAUGUAACGGGGCUAAACCAUGCACCGAAGCUGCGGCAGCGACGCUGAUGCGUUGUUGGGUAGGGGAGCGUUCUGUAAGCCUGUGAAGGUGUGCUGUGAGGCAUGCUGGAGGUAUCAGAAGUGCGAAUGCUGACAUAAGUAACGAUAAAGCGGGUGAAAAGCCCGCUCGCCGGAAGACCAAGGGUUCCUGUCCAACGUUAAUCGGGGCAGGGUGAGUCGACCCCUAAGGCGAGGCCGAAAGGCGUAGUCGAUGGGAAACAGGUUAAUAUUCCUGUACUUGGUGUUACUGCGAAGGGGGGACGGAGAAGGCUAUGUUGGCCGGGCGACGGUUGUCCCGGUUUAAGCGUGUAGGCUGGUUUUCCAGGCAAAUCCGGAAAAUCAAGGCUGAGGCGUGAUGACGAG